GCUUAUUGUUUACAAUGUUUUGGACCCAAUUAGUUGUUUGGGCUCACUGUAGAAAUUCAGUUUCUUUGUCUGUACUCUGUAGUACUAUUCCUAAAUGAACUCACAUUAGGUAAUGAAAACAGCACAAGCCAGGUUAUAAGGUCAAGUAUAUUGGCCAGCUGUAGGAGUCAGUUGCAAGGUUUAUUUUGCAGGGCUCUUCCCUUCAUCUCUGUAUUCUCUCCGUUCUUCCUUUAUUCCAUCCCCUUACUCUUUAAAUUUUGUGUCAGAUUUCUUCACUUAAGACUCUGCUAACUUUCUUUUUGAUCUAUGGAUCUAAUCUAAUACAUCUGUUAUUGUUAUGGGUUGAAAAACAAUCGAUUUUCUUGCUUUGCAGAUACUGCUGAUAUACUGCUUAACUGUUGAUUCUCUUGGCAGCUAAGCAAAUUGUGCAGAAAGUUGGAGCUGGCCUGAUCUGGAAUGAUCUCUUUUUCAAUUAUUUUCAUAUCCAAAACCCCUUUCAAUCUGAAUACCAAAUUCAGACAAUAAGAGUCCUUUAUUUCUUCAUUCUCUCCUUUUCCUCUCAAAAUAAAAAUAUAUGCAUUUCAUUUAUUGAUAUUCCUCAAUCUUUGUAGCCAAACUAGAAACUCUAGCACAGCCUCUAUUGCUUUCCUUCUUGUUAAAUUCAAAAUGAAUUUAAAUCUGUCCACUUUCUACUGCAGGAGAGCAAAUCUUUGGCUUUCUUUUAGAAUUGUUUCUACCUCAUUACUUCAUCUACACUUGCUCAUUGUGCGACACUUUCUCCGUAGGGCGUUGCAUCAAGAAAUCAUGAAUGUCUCUGAAAAACUAUUCUCUUCUAUUGAUGAUUGUGACAAAUCAAAAUCACCUUCAGGAAGAAUGAAUAAGAUAUGGAGAAAGUAAUGGGAAGAGAAAUUAUAUUGUGCAGUGCAAGAAUGUUGAAGAUACAAAAGAUUUAACAGGCAAAGCUUUAAUAACAUGACUUAGAAAAGGACAAGAAAGAGUCAUGCC
Molecule: long non-coding RNA, 1005 nt
Filed under: Elaeis guineensis (African oil palm)
Lineage: Eukaryota; Viridiplantae; Streptophyta; Magnoliopsida; Arecales; Arecaceae
Description: long non-coding RNA (EGUI_LNC076921)
Source: RNAcentral